Molecule: unclassified non-coding RNA, 3151 nt
Filed under: Lytechinus variegatus (green sea urchin)
Lineage: Eukaryota; Metazoa; Echinodermata; Echinoidea; Temnopleuroida; Toxopneustidae
Description: protein cycle-like, transcript variant X3
Source: RNAcentral
ACAUUCUGAAAUUAUUUGAUGAUAUACUUUGCCUGAAGGGUUUCUUUUGAGUAAAUGCAAAUUGCCCUUUCAAGAAUCUACGUCUCCAAACGUCCAACAGAAAUUCCAGAUAGAGAUUUAUGUUGGUGUUUUGUUUUCCAUGAUGGCGAUCGAUGACCCAGUUUUUUCGAGGUUCGCGUGAAAAUUAAAUCGUGCAAAGCUACCGUAAAUGCAAUUUGUUUGCUGCGUGAUGGUGCCGUGGUUGUUGUGAAAACCUGUGGAAUUAUAAUCGUUUGAGGUGAAAGGAACGUGUAAAAUAAGCUUAAUCUGUAGAUAUGAUGCAGAACAUGAGUAUCUCGGAUAUGUCAAGUACUAUGGAUAGGAAAAGGAAACUGAGUUUUAUUGAUUCUGGAGGGGAGGAUAUGAGUGAUGAAGAUCUAUCAAGUGAAAGAAAUACAUCAGGAGACGACAGCAAAAAGCUCUCAAAACAGAAUCACAGUGAGAUCGAGAAAAGGAGACGAGAGAAGAUGAACACGUACAUACAAGAACUGAGCGCUAUGGUCCCCACCUGCAGCUCCAUGUCGUCCAAGUUGGAUAAACUUACCAUACUACGCAUGGCUGUACAGCAUAUGAAGACUUUAAGAGGUGCUUCAAGUUCUCGUAAAGAAGCAAAUUAUAAGCCGUCUUUUCUCUCAGAAGAUGACCUCAAUCCUCUCAUUCUAGAGGCUGCCGAAGGAUUUCUUUUUGUCGUGAGCUGUGACCGUGGCCGGGUUCUCUACGUGUCGGAAUCGGUGCUCAACGUCCUCAAUAUUACCUGGGAACGUUUGAUUGGUCAGAGUUUAUUUGAUAUCCUCCAUCCCAAAGACGUCCCCAAGGUCAAAGAGCAACUCUCAUCAUCCGACCUUUCACCCCGAGAACGUUUCAUCGACACCAAGACUGGUAUGUUGGUAAAAUCAGAGAUGACGAUGUCGCCGCCUCAGUUAUCAUCAGGAGCUCGACGGUCGUUCUUUUGUAGGAUGAGGAUAUACAGCCCCGAGCAUGCGGUCAAGACUGAAGAUGGUCAACAGUGGAAGCGACUGAAACAACCAGCAGAUCGCAAGAAGUAUGCAACGAUACACUGUACAGGUUACUUGAAGAGUUGGCCACCAGCGAAGGUCGGGUUGGACAAAGACGAGAUGGAAGUCGACAUCGAUGGUUGCAAUCUUAGCUGUCUUGUCGCUGUAGCCAGAGUACAGACUAUCCAGAGCCCAAUCCCAUCCCCCAACAAUAACAUUCAACUCAAACCUAUUGAAUUUGUAUCCAGGCAUGCGAUGGAUGGUAAAUACACAUUCGUAGAUCAAAGAGCUACUGCCGUAAUGGGCUACCUUCCUCAGGAGUUGUUAGGUACUUCAUGUUACGAGUAUUAUCACAUAGACGAUAUAUCUAUAAUGGCAGAGUAUCAUAAAACAGUACUGUCGAGUCGAGAGAAGAUCUUAACAAGUUCUUAUCGCUUCAGAGCAAAGAAUGGCGAGUUUAUUCUUCUACGAUCACGAAUGUUCACCUUCCGGAAUCCUUGGACGAAGGAAAUAGAAUACGUGGUCUCUACCAAUACAUUAGUUAACAAAGAUGAGGCCAUCCCAUCUAACAGCAAUGAAUGUGGUCCAACAACCAAAGAUCAGGAAUCAUCUCAGCUCCAAUCCCUGAUCACCAACCUGAGUAAGUCAGCGGCUAUACCGGGUGUGUCCACCAACAACACUCACAUGGGAGCAGGGAAGAUAGGCUGGAAGAUCGCAGAAGAGGUCAUGGAAGCAGAAAGAAUGAAUGAAGUUUCAUCGAGUGGCUGGGAGUCUAAGGAUGCUAGUCCUGUUGUGGUCGAUUCCCAAGGCAUCACUGGAGAUGCUGUAUCAUCCAUGGGUUCUGAAACCAACAAGGUGUCGUCCAGGGAGGUCCGGAAAAGCAGCGGCAACAUCCCUGGUGACCCUAAACCAGAGAAGAUGCCCACCACGGUCAAGACUGGUCAGUCCUUCCUCAACAAUAGUUCAGUAGUAUGCGGUGACCAGACAAACAACUCUGGGAACCUACCGCAGAAUCCCUUUGCGGAGGUGUCCUCGGCCGCAGGAUUGUCAACGGCAGCUCUUGCUGCGGAACUCAGUACACCCGGUGCUGCUGCAGCCGCAGCGGCAAAGGUGAAGGAGAUGGGUGGGGACGAUGAAGCUGCCAUGGCGUUUAUUAUGAGCUUACUAGAGGCUGAUGCCGGUUUGGGUGGGUCGGUAGACUUUAACGAUCUUCCGUGGCCUCUAUGAUGGGAUGGAGACAUCCUGUCCGUACAAACUUGCCUUGAACUGUACCUUGUCAUAUCUUGGGGUGAUCUGCUUUUAGGAGGCUAAAGGUCAGCUUGAGCGGUAGUCACUAAGUGAACAUUGGGGAAGAGUCUUUAUGAAGUUACAUCAGGAAUGAAAUUUCAUCAGGAAAAAUUCAUAGAGAAGUUUUAUCAGGAAAGAGUCUUAAAGUAAGACUUCCUGGCAGAGGACUCCAGGGAAACCACUACAAGGUACAGUGUUAAGAAGAUUUAUCAGGAAAGAGUAAAUGUGAAGAUUUAUCAGGAAUGAGUCUUCAUGAAGAGUCUUCAUAAAAGAGUCUUCAUGGAAUAGCCUUCUAAUGUCAUCAGGAAAAAUUCCUUAAUGAAAUUUCCUUGGGAAAGGGUCUUCAUGCAGAUCGUGCCUUCUGACCUGCCUCACCCGCAUCCUUUGAGUCAAGGUCCAUCUGCCCCAUCCGCAUCCUUUGAGUCAAGGUCCAUCUGCCUCGCCCUCAUCCUUUGAGUCAAGGUCCAUCUGCCUCACCUGCAUCCUUUGAGUCAAGGUCCAUCUGCUUCACCCGCAUCCUUUGAGUCAAGGUCCAUCUGCCCCUUCUUGAUGGCUGUGCCACCAACCAUCUCCUAUCGUCUGCAGAUCAACCUUCGGCCAAGCAUGGCAAUCCCAAACAUGUCUCUACUGAAGGAAUUAUAUAACCACCCCAUUCCAAGUAAUUAAUCUAUUCUAAAGACCAUUGAUGUCAAUAUCCAUUCUUAAGUAAUGGCUUUGAUGGAGAUGUUUUUUCAAACUGAACUAAAUGAAAGUCACUGUUGUUGUUCGUCUUCAUGUUGUGUGUCAAAGAAAUUAAUUACCAAAAGGGCAUAGGUGCUCAGCCAGUGUGA